Molecule: ribosomal RNA, 2751 nt
Filed under: Triticum aestivum (bread wheat)
Lineage: Eukaryota; Viridiplantae; Streptophyta; Magnoliopsida; Poales; Poaceae
Description: bacterial LSU rRNA
Rfam family: Bacterial large subunit ribosomal RNA (bases 471-2751)
Source: RNAcentral
GGUGAUGUUUUGUAGACGUUUGGGGAUGAUCCGGACCCAACGGUGAUGACUCCCCGGGUCGGGUUCGGGACAAUUUUAGGACAAGCGCGCAAGGAGGGCCGCGGGCUGACGAGAGAGGUCAGGUUGAACCUGGCGGUAGGUAGUGAGCUGUGUAGACGGUCUCGAGCUGAGAGAAGAGAAGAGAGGGAGGCCCGGUGACUGUUUCCGGAGACUGAAAACGUCCGAUGUUAGACCGGCUAUACUGCCGCUAUAGUUUAACGGUUGGGCUAUCAAACGAACUCCGAAUGCGAUGAAACUUGACAGGCGGUCUAUCUACACUAUAAUAAGACCGCACGCCAACUUUCAACCCAAUCCGAGAACAUUUUCCGGCCACAUAUAGAAUAAUAUUUCGGAGGUGCCGCGGGCGCGUGCAAGUGUUGUUGGGCUUAGAACGGACAACGGACGGAACGAGGAGGCCGGGACAGAUGCAAGUUUUUAAACAUGAUGAUGCAAUGCACAUGAUGACAUGAUAAGAUGCAACACGCAAGCAAAUGACAUGGCAACAAUAGCAAAAAACUAGAAGACACCUGGCACAUCGGUCUCGGGGCGUCACAUUCACCGAAGCAACGAGACCUUGAAAGCAGCUUUUUCAAGUGUCAGUAGCGGGACGUUCUGUCAAUCGGGGAAGGUUUUUGUGACAAGACCUAGAGAUAUCAGAAGUGAGAUUGCUAACAUGAGUAACGAGAAAUCCUGUGAAAAACACGAUCGCCUACCAAUGGAAGGCUUUCUGCGUUCAGUCAAUCUACGCAGAGUGAGUCGGUCCCUAAGGAACCGCCGAAAGGACUGCCGUCCGAUGGGUACACGAAAGUGACGAAGUUGCUUUGACUACUGAACCAUGCCUGGAUCAUCGGAGCGAGUUGGACGAUCGGACCGAGGGCUGCCCCCUCUUCCCCUCUCUCUCCUUUCCUUAAUAUUCACCGUCGAGUCAGCAAAGCCGUCAACUAAUUCAGAGGGGCUCGGAUGGCCCGGUCACCCUACGCUACUGGUGCUUCCAAAGGCGAAGCUCUCGUCUUUGGCGACCAACAAAUGGAUGGCUAAAACCUGUAGUUUUGAAGCAAGGGAUGAGAGGGAAAUCCGUUGCGCUUCCGUACACGCGCAUAUGUUUUCUUGCUGGGGCAGACACGGAUUUCUCUCUAAAGGCAAAGAAAAAGAAGUGGGCGAACACUCGGCCCAGCGGGCGAACAUGCCGGCUUGGGCUCCGCGCACCUGCUGACACCUUUCGAAGCUCUUUCACGUGUGAACCGAAGUCGUCUUGCCGAACUCCUUCCUUUCUCAUUUCAGUCCUCGCAUUUUUCAUCUUCCGUAGGGGCCUUUAGUAUUUUGAUUAGAGUGGAGGUCGCGAGAGAGUAGAGCGUACAGCCCUGCCAUAGUUGCGAGGAUCUUAAUAGUCGGUCGCCACUGUUUUUAUAGUCAACGAUAGUUGGAACUUUCAAGAAAAACUUCAAAUUGGGAGGGCGAUCCUCCCAGUGAACUGACCAUACCCCAAACCGAUACAGGUGAACAAGUAGAGUAUACUAGGUCACGUCGACAGAACCAUGUUGAAGGAACUCAGCAAAAUGACCCCGUAACUUCGGGAGAAGGGGUGCUCUCCUAUCUUUUGAUUAGGAAAGCGGCACAUACUAGGGGGUAGCAACUUUUUAUUAAAAACAGAGGACUCUGCUAAGUGGUAACAUGAUGUAUAGAGUCUGACACCUGCCCGGUGCUAGAAGGUCAGAAGGAGAAGUGUGAUAAGCUUUGAAUGGAGCCUCGGUAAACGGCGGCAGUAACUCUAACUGUCCUAAGGUAGCGAAACUCCUUGUCGCAUAAGUAGCACCCUGCACGAAUGGUGUAACGACUGCCCUACUAUCUCUGACAUGGACCCGGUGAAAUUGAAUUCUUCGUGAAGAUGCGGAGUACCAACGGCUAGACGGUAAGACCCUGUGCACCUUGACUAUAGCUUCGCAAUGACAACCUUGAUCGAAUGUGUAGGAUAGGUGGGAGGUGGUGACACACAAUGACCAAUCCUGAAAGACCACUCUUUCAUCUAAGGAUGCCUAACCGCCGCACCGAUCAUUCGGGGGGGACACUGCGAGGUGGGUAGUUUAUCUGGGGCGGAUGCCUCCUAAAGAGUAACAGAUGUGUGCGAAGGUAGUCUCAAGCAUUGAUUCUUCUCGUGAGCAUAAUGGUAUAAGCCUGACUGACUGUGAGACCGACUGGUUGAACAGAGACGAAAGUCGGCCAAAGUGAUCCGGGAGUCCCGUGUGGAAGGGCUCUCGCUCAAAGGAUCAAAGGUACGCCGGGGAUAACAGGCUAAUGAAUCCCAAGAGCUCUUAUCGACGGAGUUGUUUGGCACCUCGAUGUCGACUCAUCACAUCCUAGGGUUGAAGAAGGUCCCAAGGGUUCAGUUGUUCACCGAUGAAAGUGGUACGUGAGUUGGGUUUAGAACGUCGUGAGACAGUUUGGUUCCUAUCUACCGUUGGUGUUAAAGGGAGAACUGCGAGGAGCCAGCCCUAGUACGAUAGGACUGGGCUAGGUCAACCUAUGGUGUACCGGCUAUUAUGCCAAUAGUAGCGCCGGGCAGCUAAGUUGGUACGGAAGAACUGUUGUGCCACAGGAAAUCCUUCUCUAUACAAGUUCUUGUACGAGGUUUUUGAAAAGAACUUCGAUAGGCGAGAGGUGUAAGCACCGUGAAGUAUGAAUCGAUCUCGUACUAAAUGAAUGGAAAUUGACAAC